GUGGGGAAUCUUCCGCAAUGGACGAAAGUCUGACGGAGCGACGCCGCGUGAGUGAAGAAGGCCUUCGGGUCGUAAAGCUCUGUCAUCAGGGACGAACGGCCGGUGGAGUGGAAAGCCACCGGAUUGACGGUACCUGAGAAGGAAGCCACGGCUAACUACGUGCCAGCAGCCGCGGUAAUACGUAGGUGGCAAGCGUUGUCCGGAAUUAUUGGGCGUAAAGCGCGCGCAGGUGGGAUCUUAAGUCCAUUUUUAAAGUUCGGAGCUCAACUCCGUGAUGGGAUGGAAACUGGGAUUCUUGAGUACCGGAGAGGAAAGCGGAAUUCCCCGUGUAGCGGUGAAAUGCGUAGAUAUUAGGAGGAACACCAGUGGCGAAGGCGACUUUCUGGACUGUAACUGACGCUGAGGCUCGAAAGCCAGGGGAGCGAACGGGAUUAGAAACCCCGGUAGUCC
RNAcentral lists this ribosomal RNA (450 nucleotides) under uncultured bacterium. RNAcentral's name for it is "partial 16S ribosomal RNA". It matches the Rfam family "Bacterial small subunit ribosomal RNA", at positions 354 to 796 of the family's 1533-position model. The record is from RNAcentral.